CACACAAACUUAACCACUAAGCCACGGAUGGGCGGGCAGCCCCUCUCCAUCUUGCUCUACUCCCGGGGCCUGGACCAGAAGGAGCAAGCUGCUCUGACGGUGGGCUUGUGCAUGCGCUAUGACAGACCAAGUCAUCUGCUUUCCUCGCCUGGAGCCCUCUCUCCUCCAACGUGUCCAGCUGGCUUAGGCAAGUGACCAAUCAUAGCAUAUCAUUGUAUUUUCCAUACGGUAGUUAAAAUAAUAAAUCUGAGCAUAUGGAAAAUAAAUUUAACAGUAAUACUAUCUAAGGUAACUGUAUUCAUCGUGGUGAGUUGUUUAAUUGCUUUAAGAUCCACUACCAUACUGGAUCUGUGGACAUGGCAUUUUUAUUGCUUUAAUAAACAUAUUUCUUAAAUUACAUCC
This 402-nucleotide long non-coding RNA is filed under the name Equus caballus (horse). RNAcentral's name for it is "lncRNA (ENSECAG00000057570.1)". The record is from RNAcentral. Lineage: Eukaryota; Metazoa; Chordata; Mammalia; Perissodactyla; Equidae.